This 199-nucleotide non-coding RNA is filed under the name Aerolutibacter daejeonensis. The record is from RNAcentral. Lineage: Bacteria; Pseudomonadati; Pseudomonadota; Gammaproteobacteria; Lysobacterales; Lysobacteraceae. RNAcentral also lists the same sequence under 1 other name.
GGAUAUGUUGUGGGCGUCGGUGCCGACCUUCGCGGGUCGGCUGAAAAGGGAAGCCGGUGAGAUGCCGGCGCUGCCCCGCAGCGGUAUGGGAAACGACCGCGGUCAUGGCACUGGGCGAAGGCCUGGGAAGCGACCGCCAGUAGGAGACGCACGGCGUCGUGUCCCGAGCCCGAAGACCUGCCGACAGCCGCGCGAAGCA